AGAGUUUGAUCCUGGCUCAGGAUGAACGCCGGCGGUGUGCCUAAUACAUGCAAGUCGUACGCACUGGCCCAACUGAUUGAUGGUGCUUGCACCUGAUUGACGAUGGAUCACCAGUGAGUGGCGGACGGGUGAGUAACACGUAGGUAACCUGCCUCGGAGCGGGGGAUAACAUUUGGAAACAGAUGCUAAUACCGCAUAACAACAAAAGCCACAUGGCUUUUGUUUGAAAGAUGGCUUUGGCUAUCACUCUGGGAUGGACCUGCGGUGCAUUAGCUAGUUGGUAAGGUAACGGCUUACCAAGGCAAUGAUGCAUAGCCGAGUUGAGAGACUGAUCGGCCACAAUGGAACUGAGACACGGUCCAUACUCCUACGGGAGGCAGCAGUAGGGAAUCUUCCACAAUGGGCGCAAGCCUGAUGGAGCAACACCGCGUGAGUGAAGAAGGGUUUCGGCUCGUAAAGCUCUGUUGUUGGAGAAGAACGUGCGUGAGAGUAACUGUUCACGCAGUGACGGUAUCCAACCAGAAAGUCACGGCUAACUACGUGCCAGCAGCCGCGGUAAUACGUAGGUGGCAAGCGUUAUCCGGAUUUAUUGGGCGUAAAGCGAGCGCAGGCGGUUGCUUAGGUCUGAUGUGAAAGCCUUCGGCUUAACCGAAGAAGUGCAUCGGAAACCGGGCGACUUGAGUGCAGAAGAGGACAGUGGAACUCCAUGUGUAGCGGUGGAAUGCGUAGAUAUAUGGAAGAACACCAGUGGCGAAGGCGGCUGUCUGGUCUGCAACUGACGCUGAGGCUCGAAAGCAUGGGUAGCGAACAGGAUUAGAUACCCUGGUAGUCCAUGCCGUAAACGAUGAGUGCUAGGUGUUGGAGGGUUUCCGCCCUUCAGUGCCGGAGCUAACGCAUUAAGCACUCCGCCUGGGGAGUACGACCGCAAGGUUGAAACUCAAAGGAAUUGACGGGGGCCCGCACAAGCGGUGGAGCAUGUGGUUUAAUUCGAAGCUACGCGAAGAACCUUACCAGGUCUUGACAUCUUGCGCUAACCUUAGAGAUAAGGCGUUCCCUUCGGGGACGCAAUGACAGGUGGUGCAUGGUCGUCGUCAGCUCGUGUCGUGAGAUGUUGGGUUAAGUCCCGCAACGAGCGCAACCCUUGUUACUAGUUGCCAGCAUUAAGUUGGGCACUCUAGUGAGACUGCCGGUGACAAACCGGAGGAAGGUGGGGACGACGUCAGAUCAUCAUGCCCCUUAUGACCUGGGCUACACACGUGCUACAAUGGACGGUACAACGAGUCGCAAGCUCGCGAGAGUAAGCUAAUCUCUUAAAGCCGUUCUCAGUUCGGACUGUAGGCUGCACCUCGCCUACACGAAGUCGGAAUCGCUAGUAAUCGCGGAUCAGCAUGCCGCGGUGAAUACGUUCCCGGGUCGUGUACUCACCGCCCGUCA
RNAcentral lists this ribosomal RNA (1434 nucleotides) under uncultured bacterium. RNAcentral's name for it is "bacterial SSU rRNA". It matches the Rfam family "Bacterial small subunit ribosomal RNA". The record is from RNAcentral.